Molecule: small RNA, 289 nt
Filed under: Pan troglodytes (chimpanzee)
Lineage: Eukaryota; Metazoa; Chordata; Mammalia; Primates; Hominidae
Description: Metazoan signal recognition particle RNA (ENSPTRG00000043843.1)
Source: RNAcentral
GCUGGGCAUGGUGGCUCACGCCUGUAAUCCCAGCACUUUGGGAGGCUGAGGCAGGUGGAUCGCUUGAGCCCAGGAGUUCAAGACCAGCCUGAGAAACAUGGCAAAACACCUUCCCUGCUAAAAAUAAAAAUAAAAGAAUUAGCUGGGUGUGGUGGCACACACCUGUAGUCUCAGCUGCUCAGGAGGCUGAGGCAGGAAAAAUUGCUUGAACCUGGGAGGUGGAGGCUGCAGUGAGCUGAGAUCGUGUCACUGUGCUCCAGCCUGGGCAACAGAGUGAGACUCUGUCUCA